AGAGUUUGAUCCUGGCUCAGAGUGAACGCUGGCGGCGUGCUUAACACAUGCAAGUCGAACGAUGAAAGCAACUGCUUGCAGGAGUGGUGGAUUAGUGGCGCACGGGUGAGUAAUGGAUAGGUAACCUGCCUCAUAGUCUGGGACCAACAGUUGGAAACGACUGCUAAUACCGGAUUAUCCCCUUCAACACAAGUGGACGGGGGAAAAGAUUUAUUCGUUAGAAGAUGGGCCUAUCUCCCUAUCCAGCUAGUUGGUAAAGGUAACGGCUUACCAAGGCUAUGACGGGUAGCUGGUCUUAGAGGACGAUCAGCCACACUGGAACUGAGACACGGUCCAGACUCCUACGGGAGGCAGCAGUGGGGAAUAUUGCACAAUGGAGGAAACUCUGAUGCAGCAACGCCGCGUGGAGGAUGACGCAUUUCGGUGUGUAAACUCCUUUUAUAUGGGAAGAUAAUGACGGUACCAUAUGAAUAAGCACCGGCUAACUCCGUGCCAGCAGCCGCGGUAAUACGGAGGGUGCAAGCGUUACUCGGAAUCACUGGGCGUAAAGAGCAUGUAGGCGGGUAGUAAAGUCAGAAGUGAAAGCCCACAGCUUAACUGUGGAACAGCUUCUGAAACUCACAACCUAGAGUCUGGGAGAGGAAGAUGGAAUUAGUAGUGUAGGGGUAAAAUCCGUAGAGAUAACUAGGAAUACCAAAAGCGAAGGCGAUCUUCUGGAACAGUACUGACGCUGAGAUGCGAAAGCGUGGGGAGCAAACAGGAUUAGAUACCCUGGUAGUCCACGCACUAAACGAUGAAUGUUAGUCGUUGGAAAGCUAGACACUUCAGUGAUGCAGUUAACACAUUAAACAUUCCGCCUGGGGAGUACGGUCGCAAGAUUAAAACUCAAAGGAAUAGACGGGGACCCGCACAAGUGGUGGAGCAUGUGGUUUAAUUCGAAGAUACGCGAAGAACCUUACCUGGCCUUGACAUCCCAAGAACCCUAGUAGAGAUACGGGGGUGCCCCUUGGGGAGCUUGGUGACAGGUGCUGCACGGCUGUCGUCAGCUCGUGUCGUGAGAUGUUGGGUUAAGUCCCGCAACGAGCGCAACCCUCGUCACUAGUUACUAACGGUUCGGCCGAGGACUCUAGUGAGACUGCCUUCGCAAGGAGGAGGAAGGUGAGGACGACGUCAAGUCAUCAUGGCCCUUAUGGCCAGGGCUACACACGUGCUACAAUGGUUAGGACAAUGAGACGCAAUACCGCGAGGUGGAGCAAAUCUAUAAACCUAAUCUCAGUUCGGAUUGUAGUCUGCAACUCGACUACAUGAAGCUGGAAUCACUAGUAAUCGUAGAUCAGCUAUGCUACGGUGAAUACGUUCCCGGGUCUUGUACUCACCGCCCGUCACACCAUGGGAGUUGAUUUCACCCGAAGCGGGGAAGCUAAACUGGCUACCCUCCACGGUGGGAUCAGCGACUGGGGUGAAGUCGUAACAAGGUAGCCGU
RNAcentral lists this ribosomal RNA (1483 nucleotides) under uncultured bacterium. Its description in RNAcentral is "bacterial SSU rRNA". It matches the Rfam family "Bacterial small subunit ribosomal RNA". The record is from RNAcentral.